UUUUAAUUCUCUUAGUACACUGUAAAAUUAUUUGUUGCUGCAUUAAAUGAAGUAUAAUCCAAAUGGCUGGUACAGUCAUUUCAACUCUUUGUGAAAGUGAAAACUUCUAAACUUUUAGUUAAUACAAAAUAUGUUGCCAUGAGUUAUUGAUCACAUUAUAUCAAUGACAAUCCCCCCCCCCCCUCUUUUUUGCAGUUUUACAUAAUACACCAACACUUUUACCUGUUCCCAUGCAAGUGGUGGCAGAAGCAUAUGCAGUAAGUUGUGUAUUUUUUCUAACUUGCAUAAAGGGAAGAAAGUGCAACACUCUGUAAUACCCAUUUAUUUCCAUUGCACAGGACAGUGAAGAACCCUCUCAGAAGACUGUCCUUUGGAGGAAGAACCUGUAAGUGCAUAAAUACCUUUACACUAAUUUGUAUAUAGCCUACUUGUGUACCUAUUCUUUCUGUCUGCAAUUUGAGUUGCAGGAGUCCACACCUAGAGAAAGGCCUACAGAAAGGCUUGCAGAAGAGUCUGCACAAAGAACUAAUACAGAGGGUGACAUCCGUUCCCUCUAUAAACGGCAUCUUCAACAAAAAAUUGAGUAUUUUGAGCUGAAAAAACGCAAAUUAAGAGGAGAAAUUGAACUUGACAACUUGAAAAAGAGAAAAAUUGCUCUAGAGAUAGAGUUGCUUCAAAAGGACCUUCAGAGCAAAAGAUGACUUGCUGGCUUUUCUUUAUAAAGAAUUGUUUAAAUAAAACUCUGGG
Molecule: long non-coding RNA, 747 nt
Organism: Cyprinus carpio carpio
Lineage: Eukaryota; Metazoa; Chordata; Actinopteri; Cypriniformes; Cyprinidae
Source: Ensembl